CAGUAGCCGCGGUAAUACGAAGGGGGCUAGCGUCGUUCGGAUUUACUGGGCGUAAAGGGCGCGUAGGCGGACUGAUAAGUCAGGGGUGAAAUCCCAAGGCUCAACCUUGGAACUGCCUUUGAUACUGUUUGUCUUGAGUUCGAGAGAGGUAAGUGGAACUGCGAGUGUGGAGGUGAAAUUCGUAGAUAUUCGCAAGAACACCAGUGGCGAAGGCGGCUUACUGGCUCGAAACUGACGCUGAGGCGCGAAAGCGUGGGGAGCAAACAGGAUUAGAGACCCCGGUAGUCCCUGUCUCUUAUAC
RNAcentral lists this ribosomal RNA (301 nucleotides) under uncultured bacterium. RNAcentral's name for it is "partial 16S ribosomal RNA". It matches the Rfam family "Bacterial small subunit ribosomal RNA", at positions 509 to 807 of the family's 1533-position model. The record is from RNAcentral.